UACGUAGGGUGCGAGCGUUGUCCGGAAUUAUUGGGCGUAAAGGGCUCGUAGGCGGUCUGUCGCGUCGAAAGUGAAAACCCAGGGCUUAACCCUGGGCCUGCUUCCGAUACGGGCAGACUAGAGGUAUGCAGGGGAGAACGGAAUUCCUGGUGUAGCGGUGAAAUGCGCAGAUAUCAGGAGGAACACCGGUGGCGAAGGCGGUUCUCUGGGCAUUACCUGACGCUGAGGAGCGAAAAUGUGGGGAGCGAACAGG
This 253-nucleotide ribosomal RNA is filed under the name uncultured bacterium. RNAcentral's name for it is "partial 16S ribosomal RNA". It matches the Rfam family "Bacterial small subunit ribosomal RNA", at positions 524 to 776 of the family's 1533-position model. The record is from RNAcentral.